UACGUAGGUCCCGAGCGUUGUCCGGAUUUAUUGGGCGUAAAGCGAGCGCAGGUGGUUUAUUAAGUCUGGUGUAAAAGGCAGUGGCUCAACCAUUGUAUGCAUUGGAAACUGGAAGACUUGAGUGCAGGAGAGGAGAGUGGAAUUCCAUGUGUAGCGGUGAAAUGCGUAGAUAUAUGGAGGAACACCGGUGGCGAAAGCGGCUCUCUGGCCUGUAACUGACACUGAGGCUCGAAAGCGUGGGGAGCAAACAGG
RNAcentral lists this ribosomal RNA (252 nucleotides) under uncultured bacterium. Its description in RNAcentral is "partial 16S ribosomal RNA". It matches the Rfam family "Bacterial small subunit ribosomal RNA", at positions 524 to 776 of the family's 1533-position model. The record is from RNAcentral.